UGCGCAGGCGGACUAUUAAGUCAGUGGUGAAAUCUCUUGGCUCAACCGAGAAACUGCCAUUGAAACUGAUAGCCUUGAGUGUAGUUGUAGUAGGCGGAAUAUAGCAUGUAGCGGUGAAAUGCUUAGAUAUGCUAUAGAACACCGAUCGCGAAGGCAGCUUACUAAACUAUUACUGACGCUCAUGCACGAAAGCGUGGGGAGCAAACAGGAUUUAGAUACCCUGGUAGUCC
Molecule: ribosomal RNA, 230 nt
Filed under: uncultured bacterium
Lineage: Bacteria
Description: partial 16S ribosomal RNA
Rfam family: Bacterial small subunit ribosomal RNA
Source: RNAcentral